This 742-nucleotide ribosomal RNA is filed under the name uncultured beta proteobacterium. RNAcentral describes it as "bacterial SSU rRNA". It matches the Rfam family "Bacterial small subunit ribosomal RNA", at positions 8 to 746 of the family's 1533-position model. The record is from RNAcentral. Lineage: Bacteria; Pseudomonadati; Pseudomonadota; Betaproteobacteria.
AGAGUUUGAUCCUGGCUCAGAUUGAACGCUGGCGGCAUGCCUUACACAUGCAAGUCGAACGCGAAAGGGGGGCAACCCCCGAGUAGAGUGGCGAACGGGUGAGUAAUACAUCGGAACGUACCCAGUAGCGGGGGAUAACCUCUCGAAAGAGAGGCUAAUACCGCAUACGACCUACGGGUGAAAGAGGGGGAUCGCAAGACCUCUCACUAUUGGAGCGGCCGAUGUCGGAUUAGCUAGUUGGUGGGGUAAAAGCCUACCAAGGCCACGAUCCGUAGCUGGUCUGAGAGGACGGCCAGCCACACUGGAACUGAGCUACGGUCCAGACUCCUACGGGAGGCAGCAGUGGGGAAUUUUGGACAAUGGGCGAAAGCCUGAUCCAGCCAUGCCGCGUGAGUGAAGAAGGCCUUCGGGUUGUAAAGCUCUUUCGGCUGGGACGAAAAGGUCCGUGCUAACACCACGGAUCCAUGACGGUACCAGCAGAAGAAGCGCCGGCUAACUACGUGCCAGCAGCCGCGGUAAUACGUAGGGUGCAGGCGUUAAUCGGAAUUACUGGGCGUAAAGCGUGCGCAGGCGGUUUGCUAAGACAGGUGUGAGUCCCCGGGCUUAACCUGGGAACUGCGCUUGUAACUGGCAAGCUUGAGUGUGGCAGAGGGGGGGUGGAAUUCCACGUGUAGCAGUGAAAUGCGUAGAGAUGUGGAGGAACACCGAUGGCGAAGGCAGCCCCCUGGGCUAACACUGGACC